This 457-nucleotide ribosomal RNA is filed under the name uncultured bacterium. Its description in RNAcentral is "bacterial SSU rRNA". It matches the Rfam family "Bacterial small subunit ribosomal RNA", at positions 30 to 507 of the family's 1533-position model. The record is from RNAcentral.
AGCGAACGUUUGCGGCGGGCCUAACACAUGCAAGUCGAACGCACUAGCAAUAGUGAGUGGCGCACGGGUGCGUAACACGUGGGUAAUCAACCCUUCAGCUUGGGAUAACGACUUGAAAGGGUCGCUAAUACCGGAUACGGCGCGAGAGGCUUCGGCAUCUCACGAGAAAGCCUCGCAAGGGGCACUGAAGGACGAGCCUGCGGCCCAUCAGCUAGUUGGUGAGGUAAGAGCUCACCAAGGCGAAGACGGGUAGCUGGUCUGAGAGGAUGAUCAGCCACACUGGGACUGAGACACGGCCCAGACUCCUACGGGGGGCAGCAGUGAGGGAUUUUCGGCAAUGGGCGAAAGCCUGACCGAGCGACGCCGCGUGAGCGAAGAAGGCCUUCGGGUCGUAAAGCUCUGUCUAGGGGGAAGAGGAAGGACGGUACCUCUGGAGGAAGCCACGGCUAACUACGUG